This 800-nucleotide ribosomal RNA is filed under the name uncultured bacterium. Its description in RNAcentral is "bacterial SSU rRNA". It matches the Rfam family "Bacterial small subunit ribosomal RNA", at positions 8 to 802 of the family's 1533-position model. The record is from RNAcentral.
AGAGUUUGAUCCUGGCUCAGAACGAACGCUGGCGGCGUGGCUAAGGCAUGCAAGUCGAACGAACGUAUGGAAUGGGAAACUUGAACAUACGUUAGUGGCGAACGGGUGAGGAAUACAUGGAUGACGUACCCCGGACUCGGGGAUAGCGGCGGGACGCAAGUCCCUUUAGCGAAAGUGCCGGUAAUACCCGAUGAUCUCGGAGGAUCGCAUGGUCCUUCGGGCAAAGCUCCGACGGUCUGGGAGCGGUUCAUGGCUUAUCAGCUAGUUGGUGAGGUAACGGCCCACCAAGGCAAUGACGGGUAUCGGGUGUGAGAGCAUGACCCGACACAUCGGGACUGAGACACGGCCCGGACACCUACGGGUGGCUGCAGCAACGAAUAUUCCGCAAUGGACGAAAGUCUGACGGAGCGACGCCGCGUGCAGGAAGAAGUCCUUCGGGAUGUAAACUGCUGUCAGGGGUUAGGAACACUGACCGGCCCCAGAGGAAGCACUGGCUAACUCCGUGCCAGCAGCCGCGGUAACACGGAGAGUGCGAGCGUUGUUCGGAAUCACUGGGCUUAAAGGGCGUGCAGGCGGAGUGUUAGGUGUCGGGUGAAAUCCCCGGGCUCAACCCGGGAACUGCUCGGCAAACCGGCAUUCUUGAGGCAGGCAGAGGUGACUGGAACGACCGGUGGAGCGGUGAAAUGCGUAGAUAUCAGUUGGAACGCCGGAGGCGAAAGCGGGUCGCUGGGCCUGCCCUGACGCUGAGACGCGAAAGCGUGGGGAGCGAAGAGGAUUAGAUACCCUCGUAGUCCACGCCG